AGCCCGCUCAGAAACUACAAAGGAAUUGACGGGGCCCGCACAAGCGGUGGAGCAUGUGGUUUAAUUCGAUGAUACGCGAGGAACCUUACCUGGGCUCAAAUGUAUGUUGACGUAUUCUGAAAGGGAUACUUCUUCGGACAAUAUACAAGGUGCUGCAUGGUUGUCGUCAGCUCGUGCCGUGAGGUGCCGGGUUAAGUCCCAUAACGAGCGCAACCCCUAUCAUUAGUUGCCAUCAGGUCAAGCUGGGGACUCUAAUGAAACUGCCUACGCAAGUAGUGAGGAAGGUGGGGAUGACGUCAAAUCAGCACGGCCCUUACGUCCAGGGCUACACACGUGCUACAAUGGCCGGUACAAAGGGCAGCUACCUGGUGACAGGAUGCUAAUCUCAAAAGCCGGUCUCAGUUCGGAUCGGAGUCUGCAACCCGACUCCGUGAGGCUGGAAUCGCUAGUAAUCGCGCAUCAGCCAUGGCGCGGUGAAUACGUUCCCGGGCCUU
RNAcentral lists this ribosomal RNA (494 nucleotides) under uncultured Sphingobacteriales bacterium. RNAcentral's name for it is "bacterial SSU rRNA". It matches the Rfam family "Bacterial small subunit ribosomal RNA", at positions 903 to 1382 of the family's 1533-position model. Lineage: Bacteria; Pseudomonadati; Bacteroidota; Sphingobacteriia; Sphingobacteriales. The record is from RNAcentral.